CUCGGUGGAUCAGUGGCGAACGGGUGAGUAACACGUGAGCAACCUGCCCCUGACUCUGGGAUAAGCGCUGGAAACGGCGUCUAAUACUGGAUAUGAGCUGCGACCGCAUGGUCAGCAGUUGGAAAGAUUUUUCGGUCUGGGAUGGGCUCACGGCCUAUCAGCUUGUUGGUGAGGUAAUGGCUCACCAAGGCGUCGACGGGUAGCCGGCCUGAGAGGGUGACCGGCCACACUGGGACUGAGACACGGCCCAGACUCCUACGGGAGGCAGCAGUGGGGAAUAUUGCACAAUGGGCGGAAGCCUGAUGCAGCAACGCCGCGUGAGGGACGACGGCCUUCGGGUUGUAAACCUCUUUUAGCAGGGAAGAAGCGAAAGUGACGGUACCUGCAGAAAAAGCGCCGGCUAACUACGUGCCAGCAGCCGCGGUAAUACGUAGGGCGCAAGCGUUAUCCGGAAUUAUUGGGCGUAAAGAGCUCGUAGGCGGUUUGUCGCGUCUGCUGUGAAAUCCCGAGGCUCAACCUCGGGUCUGCAGUGGGUACGGGCAGACUAGAGUGCGGUAGGGGAGAUUGGAAUUCCUG
Molecule: ribosomal RNA, 576 nt
Filed under: Microbacterium sp. LL2
Lineage: Bacteria; Bacillati; Actinomycetota; Actinomycetes; Micrococcales; Microbacteriaceae
Description: bacterial SSU rRNA
Rfam family: Bacterial small subunit ribosomal RNA
Source: RNAcentral